AACGAACGCUGGCGGCAUGCCUAACACAUGCAAGUCGAACGAGACCUUCGGGUCUAGUGGCGCACGGGUGCGUAACGCGUGAGAACCUGCCCUUAGGUUCGGAAUAACUCCCGAAAGGGGUGCUAAUACCGGAUAAUGUCUUCGGACCAAAGAUUUAUCGCCUUUGGAUGGGCCCGCGUUGGAUUAGCUAGUUGGUAGGGUAAAAGCCUACCAAGGCGACGAUCCAUAGCUGGUCUGAGAGGAUGAUCAGCCACACUGGGACUGAGACACGGCCCAGACUCCUACGGGAGGCAGCAGUGGGGAAUAUUGGACAAUGGGCGAAAGCCUGAUCCAGCAAUGCCGCGUGAGUGAUGAAGGCCUUAGGGUUGUAAAGCUCUUUUACCCGGGAUGAUAAUGACAGUACCGGGAGAAUAAGCUCCGGCUAACUCCGUG
RNAcentral lists this ribosomal RNA (432 nucleotides) under uncultured bacterium. RNAcentral describes it as "partial 16S ribosomal RNA". It matches the Rfam family "Bacterial small subunit ribosomal RNA", at positions 29 to 507 of the family's 1533-position model. The record is from RNAcentral.